AUGGCUUUAAAAAAACUCCUAUAUUUUUCCAUAGUUAUUAAAAAACAGGAACUUUUAGGCUCUGAAGAUCAUGUGGACCAGAGCAAAUUAAAGUUCAGGGCCGGCCGCGGCGGCGCCAACCCCCAGGAUGGCGGCUUUUGGCCACUGAGAAGGAGGCGUCGGCCCAGCGAGAGGAAGGGACAGGGGAGGCCGGCGCGGUGAUUGGUGGAAGCACCAGCGCUAGCCCUGGCUGCUCUCACGCGCGAUGCCGAGAGGGCCCUGCGGCGCCGCCCAUUGGCGACGAGGUCCUGACGUCACCGCGACCCUCUCCAGGCUGCUGUGCUUCGUGCCCUCUCGCCGCGCCCGGCUUGAGGAAAUGGAAGCCCCGGCUGUUGACGCCAUCAUGUCGCCUGAAGAAGAGCUGGAGCCUCUCGGCAAGCAGCCGGCUGUCCUGCCCCUGCUGGAAUUGGUCGGGGAGGCUGGUAAUGGCUCCAGUACGUACGGGUCGGAGUAGGACGAGUUGUACUGGCAGUCGCUGGAGAUUAUCUCUGGGUACCUUGGGUAGCAGGCAACUGGCACCAAGGACACGAAGCCAAUGGGCAGGUCUGGGGCCGCCAACAGGAAGGCGCUGGACACCUUACGACGCGUUAGGGAAGGCGUGCCCCGCAACCGCUAGAUGGCCUUACGAGGCAUGCUUCGGAAACUGGACAUCAAAAACGAAGACGACGUCAAAUCUUUGUCUCGAGUGAGGCCCAUGUUUUCAGCGACGGCGUAACAAGCUGGGGUAGGAUUGUGACUCUCAUUUAUUUUGGUGCCUUUGUGGCCAAACACUUGAAGACCAUAAACCAAGAAAGUUGCAUCGAACCAUUAGCAGAAAGUAUCAGAAGUUCUCGUUAGGACAAAACGGGACUGGCUAGUUAAACAAGUAGGCUGGGAUGGGUUUGUGGAGUUCUUCCAUGUAGAGGACCUAGAAGGUGGCAUCAGAAAUGUGCUGCUGGUUUUGCAGGUGUUGCUGGAGUAGGAGCUGAUUUGGCAUAUCUAAGAUAGGCUUAUAAGUGCAAUAGUUGACUUUUAACCAACCACCACCACCAAAACCAGGUAACAUCUGUGACAUCAGCUGGACUCCAAGCUGUGACUUCCAAGAGUUGCGCUCUGGCAACCUAGCCAAGUGGCAUGCAUUAUGGCUAACAAGAAUAAAUACAUGGGAAAAGAUCUACCCCUUGAUUGAAGAGGCACUGUCUGAAAGAAGCAAAGUUCGGUUUCAGCAAAAAGCAAAGUUUGUUUGGGAGGCUAUGGAGGAGGACUUUUGGAUUUAGUGAAGAUGGUAGAGUGGAAAGACUUAAUUUCCUUGUUGAGAACAGGAGAGUGGCCAGUAGCCAGGCAAGUCAUAGAAUUGAUUAAAUAUACCCACCGAAUUCAUUAAUUUUCUGUAGUGUUAAGAGAAGCACUAACAAUGCCAGUGACCUGUAUAAAAGCUACAAGUAAUAGAACUAUGACAGCAAGCCUCAGUACUGUACAAGGGAAGCUUUUCCCCUCUAUAAUUAGCUUUCCUAAUAGAAAGUCCAGGUGUUCAGGACUUUUAUACUUGUUAUACUUUGGCUUGGCUUCCAUGAUUCUUAGUUUAUUAGCCUAGUUUAUGGCCAAGAAUACUUGACGGAAGUCUCAGAUAUUAGUUUUGAAUAUGGCUAUCCUCAGUUUUUAAGACAAAUAAAUUGUAAAUGUAUUUGUAAAAAUUGUGUAUAUUUUUACAGAAAGUCUGUUUCUUUGAAACAAAGGAAAAGGAGUCUUGAAUUUACAUUAGUUUUUUUCAUACCCUUUUGAACUCUGCAACUUCUGUAAUUAGGAAUCUGUUUCUUAAAGCUUUUCUAUGCUAAACUUUGUUCUAGUCAGUCUAGAGUGUAUACAGAAUGAACUGAUGUGUAACUGUAUGCAAACUGGUUGUAGUGGAACAAAUCUGAUAAACUAUGCAGGUUUUAAUGUUCCUAUCUGAUUUUGGUAAGUAUUCCUUCGAUAGGUUUUUCUUUGAAAACCUGGGAUUCAGAGAUUGAUAAAUGGAAACUAAUCUUUUCACUUAUAUGCAGGUUUUCAAUAAUUAGAUCUAAGUGGAGUUUUAAUGUUACUGAUCACUUACAAAUAAUGGGUUCUGAUUGGGCAAUACUCAUUUGAGUUCCUUCCAUUUGACCUAAUUUAAUUGGUGAAAUUUAAACUGAACUCAUGAGCUCAUCUUUAAAGCUGCUACUAAAAGAUUUUCAGCUGUUCUGAAUGGAACUCAUUAGCUAUGUGCAUAAAAAAGAUCACAUCAGGUGGAUGGAGAGAUAUUUGAUCACUUGUUUGCUUAAUACAUUGUAAAAUCAUGGCUUGGAAA
RNA transcript from Sapajus apella (tufted capuchin), 2344 nucleotides. It is a transcript of the gene named induced myeloid leukemia cell differentiation protein Mcl-1 pseudogene, with no coding region annotated. The transcript is spliced from 3 exons. NCBI's taxonomy places the organism in Eukaryota, Metazoa, Chordata, Mammalia, Primates, Cebidae. The record is from RefSeq and is a predicted model, not a curated record.